GAUGAACGCUGGCGGCGUGCCUAAUACAUGCAAGUCGAGCGAACAGAUGAGGAGCUUGCUCCUCUGACGUUAGCGGCGGACGGGUGAGUAACACGUGGAUAACCUACCUAUAAGACUGGGAUAACUUCGGGAAACCGGAGCUAAUACCGGAUAAUAUAUUGAACCGCAUGGCUCAAUAGUGAAAGACGGUUUUGCUGUCACUUAUAGAUGGAUCCGCGCCGCAUUAGCUAGUUGGUAAGGUAACGGCUUACCAAGGCAACGAUGCGUAGCCGACCUGAGAGAGUGAUCGGCCACACUGGAACUGAGACACGGUCCAGACUCCUACGGGAGGCAGCAGUAGGGAAUCUUCCGCAAUGGGCGAAAGCCUGACGGAGCAAAGCCGCGUGAGUGAUGAAGGUCUUCGGAUCGUAAAACUCUGUUAUUAGGGAAGAACAAAUGUGUAAGUAACUAUGCACGUCUUGACGGUACCUAAUCAGAAAGCCACGGCUAACUACGUG
This 497-nucleotide ribosomal RNA is filed under the name uncultured bacterium. Its description in RNAcentral is "partial 16S ribosomal RNA". It matches the Rfam family "Bacterial small subunit ribosomal RNA", at positions 28 to 507 of the family's 1533-position model. The record is from RNAcentral.